CAGUGCUCGUCGGUACGCCACGCCUCCGGGCCUGGGCGUGCCGCACCUGCCCCACCCGUGUCUACCUUUACCUUCUGUUGCUUCGGCGGGCCCGCCUUUGCCACGUAGGUACGUUUACUUCCCCCAACCAUUGGGACGGGGUAAGCGUACCUACGCAGCGGGCGGACCGGGGACCCCGUGCACACACACACGACCCCUGGCCAGCGCCCGUCAGAGGACCGUCUGAACCUUCUUGUGAAUACACGACCAGUCUGAGAUUUUACUUUAGAAAUACAGUUA
This 279-nucleotide unclassified non-coding RNA is filed under the name uncultured Ascomycota. RNAcentral describes it as "sequence contains ITS1". The record is from RNAcentral. Lineage: Eukaryota; Fungi; Ascomycota.